AUGGCAAUGGUGUUUCGACAAGUCUGGUGGCAGUGGAUGAGGCUACGGCCGACGCCGUGGCCAUCGUUUUGGAGGGAUCUUGCUGAUGGGAAUGAGGCUGGUGGCGAUCAGAUGCAUCGCUAUCUGGUACAGCAACUGGAAAGCGUGGAAAUUAUUAUCAAUUUCAGAACUAUGAAACUGCAGAUGCCUAGUACUGAAGCUUCAGAAACUUGUGAGUGUCAGCAUCUUAUAUCAACCAAGGUUUAUCAUGAAUUGCGGGAUUGCUUUGAGGUUGGUUCUGGUACAAGAUAUCCGAAAUCAGAUGAAGUUUGUGCUUCUGUUAUUAGCAUCUUCGAGUGGGGAUCUUUUCAGAAAUGGGUGUUGGGGCUCUAUUUCAAUAAGAUUGGUGAUGCUCAAUGCAAGUGUUUACUUUUUCCUCUCGUCUCUGCCAUAUGUAUAUGGGAGUUCGACAUGGGCAUGUACCAGAUGGGCAUGUUUUGGGAUCCCGGAGGACCGGCGGUGUUCCUGUUACUGGAAUUGACUCGACAAGCGCACCUGUGGGAAGAGUUCCUUGCUAUGGGCGCAACUAUGCCAUUUUCUGUUGUUGCUCUUAUGUGCAAGUCUCAACUACAACAGCCAACAAGAUGCUUGCCAGGCCGUUCUAUCCUGGUGAUUGGACUUUAUGUAACACACAACUUCUACAUGGCAUCAACUAGUGCACAAGUAGAUCCUCAAGAAGGGAGGGAUGUCAAAGACGGCACUGCCUUCCUCUACCAAGAUCCCCAUGGCAGCGACUACUACCUCAACCACGACCACUCCUUUGAGCUAGUUCAAAUCCACCUAAACUAUGGCUACGACCACGACAACUACCAUGGCGACCACAACAUGAUCAAGAACCUCCAAGCACCCUGGGAUCCUGGCGAGCUCCUCAUGACAGCGGCUUGGGGGCAAGCCGCAUUUCAAGAAAGGAGGGAUGUUAGGGACCCAUUGGGCUUGCCCGUGGGUGGUACGUGGGCCAAGCCCACCAGGGUGCCGACUACAAAUACAGGGAAGCAGGCCACGAGGAGGUAUCCGCGUAGGAUCAGGCAUGGCACGACGGCUCCUCCUCCCCUACCUUCUCCUACCUACUGUUCCUCCCUCUUCCUCCUCCAUCCUCCCUCAAUUCACUGUUAUCAGACAUUGGUUCCCCUGUAA
RNAcentral lists this ribosomal RNA (1173 nucleotides) under Triticum aestivum (bread wheat). Its description in RNAcentral is "partial small subunit ribosomal RNA". The record is from RNAcentral. Lineage: Eukaryota; Viridiplantae; Streptophyta; Magnoliopsida; Poales; Poaceae.